GACGAACGCUGGCGGCGCGCUUAACACAUGCAAGUCGAGCGAGAACCGGGACUUCGGUCCCGGGGACAGCGGCGAACGGGUGAGUAACACGUGGGUAAUCUGCCCUCGAUUCUGGGAUAGCCCGGGGAAACCCGGAUUAAUACCGGAUAGCCUUUCGAGCCUUCGGGCGCGAAAGAAAAGGUAGCUUCGGCCUCCGAUCGAGGAUGAGCCCGCGGUGGAUUAGCUUGUUGGCGGGGUAAUGGCCCACCAAGGCGACGAUCCAUAGCUGGUCUGAGAGGACGAUCAGCCACACUGGGACUGAGACACGGCCCAGACUCCUACGGGAGGCAGCAGUGGGGAAUCUUGCGCAAUGGGCGAAAGCCUGACGCAGCGACGCCGCGUGGGGAAGAAGGCCUUAGGGUUGUAAACCUCUUUCAGGUGGGACGAAGCCACUCGGGUGAACAGCCCCAGAGGGUGACGGUACCGCCAGAAGAGCCCGGCUAACUACGUGCCAGCAGCCGCAGUAAG
RNAcentral lists this ribosomal RNA (507 nucleotides) under uncultured bacterium. Its description in RNAcentral is "bacterial SSU rRNA". It matches the Rfam family "Bacterial small subunit ribosomal RNA", at positions 28 to 524 of the family's 1533-position model. The record is from RNAcentral.